GAUGAACGCUAGCGGCAGGCCUAACACAUGCAAGUCGAGGGGUAACAGAGAGAAGCUUGCUUUUCUGCUGACGACCGGCGCACGGGUGCGUAACGCGUAUACAAUCUGCCUUAUACAGAGGGAUAGCCUUUAGAAAUGAAGAUUAAUACCUUAUAGUCUAUUUUUAUAGCAUUAUUUAAAUAGUAAAGCUUCGGUGGUAUAAGAUGAGUAUGCGUCCUAUUAGUUAGUUGGUAAGGUAACGGCUUACCAAGACAACGAUAGGUAGGGGCCCUGAGAGGGGGAUCCCCCACACUGGUACUGAGACACGGACCAGACUCCUACGGGAGGCAGCAGUGAGGAAUAUUGGACAAUGGAGGCAACUCUGAUCCAGCCAUGCCGCGUGCAGGAAGACGGCCCUAUGGGUUGUAAACUGCUUUUAUAUAGGAAGAAACCUUUUCACGUGUGAGAAGCUGACGGUACUAUAAGAAUAAGGACCGGCUAACUCCGUG
This 488-nucleotide ribosomal RNA is filed under the name uncultured bacterium. Its description in RNAcentral is "bacterial SSU rRNA". It matches the Rfam family "Bacterial small subunit ribosomal RNA", at positions 28 to 507 of the family's 1533-position model. The record is from RNAcentral.